Molecule: long non-coding RNA, 635 nt
Filed under: Pan troglodytes (chimpanzee)
Lineage: Eukaryota; Metazoa; Chordata; Mammalia; Primates; Hominidae
Description: long non-coding RNA NONPTRT009899
Source: RNAcentral
ACGAAUGCCACGGUGGCCUCCUGAAGACGGAGUCCGGUCUCACAUUCCUCCAGCUUCCUGUGGGGCUCCCCCAAAAAUGGAAAUUCAAUCACAAGGCGCCUGGGCUGACGUCUCCCCUCCUAUGCAUAAAGCCCAGCGAAGGGUGAGCGCACGGCAUGGCACCUGCAGCAUGGGGUUCACGUUCUGGAAGGUUCCGGCUGACUCCCACCCUGCCCUUCACUGGCCAAGUAAACUUGCAGAAGUUACUUAACCCUUGACCUAGAAGAGCCUCCUGUCACCUGAAAAGGGAAAGUCGGGAUUGUAAGGAAAGGAAUCUCAUAGGGCUUCUCUGAGGAGACAAGUCAUUGGAUUGGGCUUAGACGUUCCAUCCGUGGCAAGAUUUCCGGCUUUGCCCUUUGGAGCCUGAGGAGCAAGGGUAGAAUGAGGAUCGUGAGGUUCUUCAGAGGCAGUUACUCACGAGGUCACAGCGCAGAAACGGCAAGAAAUGUCAGUUAUAAAAUGUCCAUGUGCAUUUUAAAUGAAUGGUUAUUAAAAUCCUUCUUUUUCCAUAAGGGAUCUAAAAAAUUAAACAAUUUGUAACUCAAACACACUUGUCAGGUAGCCUGAGUCAAAACCAGGAGAGGCUCCAUGGUCUG